This 830-nucleotide non-coding RNA is filed under the name Drosophila virilis. RNAcentral's name for it is "Eukaryotic large subunit ribosomal RNA". It matches the Rfam family "Eukaryotic large subunit ribosomal RNA", at positions 1 to 699 of the family's 3401-position model. The record is from Rfam by way of RNAcentral. Lineage: Eukaryota; Metazoa; Arthropoda; Insecta; Diptera; Drosophilidae.
CAACCUCAACUCAUAUGGGACUACCCCCUGAAUUUAAGCAUAUUAAUUAGGGGAGGAAAAGAAACUAACAAGGAUUUUCUUAGUAGCGGCGAGCGAAAAGAAAUCAGUUCAGCACUAAGUCACUUUGUCUAUAUGGCAAAUGUGAGAUGCAGUGUACGGAACAUCAACAUUCUAGUAUGAGAAGUUAACGAUUUAAGUCCUUCUUAAAUGAGGCCAUUUACCCAUAGAGGGUGCCAGGCCCGUAUAACGUUAAUGAUUACUAGAUGGUGUUUCCAAAGAGUCGUGUUGCUUGAUAGUGCAGCACUAAGUGGGUGGUAAACUCCAUCUAAAACUAAAUAUAACCAUGAGACCGAUAGUAAACAAGUACCGUGAGGGAAAGUUGAAAAGAACUCUGAAUAGAGAGUUAAAUAGUACGUGAAACUGCUUAGAGGUUAAGCCCGAUGAACCUGAAUAUCCGUUAUGGAAAAUUCAUCAUUAGAAUUGUAAUAUUUUAAACAAUAUUAUAAUAAUAGUGUGCAUUUUUUCCAUAUAAGGACAUUGUAAUCUAUUAGCAUAAAUAUUUAUCAUAAAAUUAUGUCUGAUUGCUUAUUUGAAUUAUAUGCUUGGCAUUUUAACAUAAAAUAAAAGAUAUAAAUUUGAUAAAGUGCUGAUAGAUUUAUAUGAUUACAGUGCGUUAAUUUUUCGGAAUUAUAUAAUGGCAUAAUUAUCAUUGAUAUUUGUGUUUAUUAUAUGCAUUUGUAUGAUUAACAAUGCGAAAGAUUCAGGAAACUUUCGGGACCCGUCUUUGAAACCGGAACAAGGAGUCUAACAUAUGGGGCAAGUUAUUUGGG